GCCUGGUCCCACUGCGCGUGCGCGUCCCUGGCGCGGGGGGCCCUUCUGCGCGCGCGCGCGCCGAGGUCGCAGGGGUCUGAGGUCCAGGUCUCGCGGGUGCACCGUCCUCGCGGACAGUGAGGCGUCUCGGGUUGGGCCGGGAAGGGUCGGUCGGGCCGGACCUGGCCUCGCACUCUCCCCGCUCGCCGCCCCCGGCGUCGCUGGCGAAACCCGAGCGCGCGUUAGGCGCGGGGCCGCGUGACGCGCCCCUGUUAGGGUGGGCCCGGCGGGCGGAAGAGGAUGCGCGGGGCCCCGGCCUGGCCUGAGCUCGGCCCGCAGCACCGGGCGCCCUGCGCCGCCCUCGACGUUUCCCGGAGAAGCGGCCGGCUCUGACGGGCGAGAUGAAAACAGACGGGAACCCCGCUUCUGGUCUGUACCCUCUGGCUGGCCACGUCACUGCUCGCAGCUGUGGGGAUGUUAGCAGAGCCGCACUUUACAAGGCACGCAGGCGCUUGGAAUAUGCUCACGGCGGCCGUGUGCGUGGCCCUGCUGGGCUGCCUGCAGGCCCAGGAGCUCCAGGGGCAUGUCUCCGUAAUCCUGCUGGGAGCCACCGGGGACCUGGCCAGAAAAUACCUAUGGCAGGGGCUGUUCCAGCUGUACCUGGAGGAGGCGGGGAAGGGCCACAGUUUUCGCUUCCACGGGACUGCUCUGACGAGCACCAAGCAGGGCCAGGAGGUCAUAGCCAAGGUCCUGGAGUCCCUCUCCUGCCCCAGGGACACAGCUCCCGGUCGCUGCGCUGAACUCAAGGCUCAGUUCCAGCAGCUGAGCGAGUACCGCCGCCUGAAGACACCUGAGGACUAUCUGGCCCUGAGCAAGGACAUUGAGGCCCGGGUGCAGCACGAAGGCCUCCAGGAGGCCGGCAGGAUUUUCUACUUCUCGGUGCCACCCUUCGCCUAUGCAGACAUUGCCCGCAGCAUCAACAGCAGCUGCCGUCCAGGCCCAGGUGCCUGGCUGCGCGUUGUCCUUGAGAAACCCUUUGGCCAUGACCACCGCUCAGCCCAGCAGCUGGCCACAGAACUUGGGAGCUUUUUCCAAGAGGAGGAGAUGUACCGCGUGGACCAUUACCUGGGCAAGCAGGUGGUGGCCCAGAUCCUGCCUUUCCGAGACCAGAACCGCAAGGCCCUGGACGGCCUCUGGAACCGGCACCACGUGGAGCGCGUGGAGAUCAUCAUGAAGGAGACCGUGGACGCAGAAGGUCGCACCAGCUUCUACGAGGAGUACGGCGUCAUCGGUGAUGUCCUGCAGAACCACCUGACCGAGAUCCUCAUGCUGGUGGCCAUGGAGCUGCCCCUCGACAUCAGCAGCUCGGAGGCGGUGCUGGGGCACAAGCUCCAGGCCUUCCGGGCCCUGCGGGGCCUGCAGAGGGGCAGUGCUGUCGUGGGCCAGUACCAGGCUUACCGUGGGCAGGUGCGCAGAGAGCUGCAGAAGCCAGACAGCUUCCACAGCCUGACGCCGACCUUUGCAGGCAUCCUCGUUCACAUAGACAACCUUCGCUGGGAGGGGGUCCCUUUCAUCCUGAUGUCCGGCAAAGCCUUGGAUGAGAGAGUGGGCUACGUUCGGAUCUUGUUCAAGGACCAGGUGUACUGUGCCCAGAGCGAGAAGCGCUGGGUCCCGGCCCAGAGCCACUGCCUUCCUCAGCAGAUCAUCUUCUACAUUGGCCACGGUGAGCUGGGCAGCCCAGCUGUGCUGGUCAGCAGGAACCUGUUCAGGCCCUCCCUGCCCUCUGCCAGCUGGAAGGAAGUGGAGGGCCAGCCUGGGCUUCGCCUCUUUGGCUGCCCUCUGUCUGAUUACUACGCCUACAGCCCUGUGAGGGAGCAGGACGCCUACUCCAUCCUCAUCUCUCAUAUCUUCCACCGCCGGAAGGACUCCUUCAUUGCCAUGGAGAACUUGCUGGCUUCCUGGGUCUUCUGGACGCCCUUGCUGGACAGCCUGGCCCACGAGGUCCCACGCCUCUACCCAGGAGGAGCAGAGAAUGGACACCUGUUGGACUUUGAGUUCAGUGGCAGCCACUUGUCCUUCUCCCAGCCGCCAUUGGAGCAGCUGGUACCGGGGCCGGAUUCCGCUCCGAUGCCCAGCGACUUCCAGGUUCUCGGGGCCAAGUACCGAGACAGCCCGCUGAUAUCAGCCUGGCCGGAGGAGCUGAUCGCCAGGCUGGCCGGCGACAUCGAGGCUGCAGCUGUGCGGGCUGUGAGGCGCUUUGGCAAGUUCCACCUGGCACUCUCGGGCGGCUCGAGCCCCGUGGCCCUGUUCCAGCAGCUGGCCAUGGGGCACUACGGCUUCCCCUGGGCCCACACACACCUGUGGCUGGUGGACGAGCGCUGCGUCCCGCUCUGGGACCCCGAGUCCAACUUCCAGGGCCUGCAGGCUCACCUGCUGCAGCACGUGCGUGUCCCCUACUACAACAUCCACCCCAUGCCCGUGCACCGGCGCCAGCGGCUCUGUGCCGAGGAGGACCAGGGCGCCCAGGCCUAUGCCGAGGAGAUCUCCACCCUGGUGACCAACAGCAGCUUCGACCUGGUGCUGCUGGGCAUGGGCACCGACGGGCACACGGCCUCCCUCUUCCCUCAGUCACCCGUCGGCCUGGACGGCGAGCAGCUGGUGGUGCUGACCACGAGCCCCUCCAGCCCGCGCCGGCGCAUGAGCCUCAGCCUGCCCGUCAUCAACCGUGCCCGCCAGGUGGCGGUCCUGGUCAUGGGCCGGAUGAAGCGCGAGAUCGCCCUGCUGGUGAGCCGCGUGGGCCGCGAGCCCAGGAAGUGGCCCAUCUCGGGCGUCCGGCCUGAUUCUGGCCAGCUGGUGUGGUACAUGGACUACGACGCGUUUCUGGGGUGACGGCACCUUUGCCCUUCGCUCACCCCCGCGCUUUCCUUCACCCAUCGUCUCUCCGCCCCCUCCGUCCUGCCCCAGCCCGCCUGCCCUGCUCUCUGGAAUCUGAUGCCUCAUGGUCAGGCUCCCGGAGACGAAGGACAAAGCCCUUCCCCAGCCCCUGUGACCGUCCCUGCCUAGUGGUGGUGGGUACACACGGGAACAGGAAGAAAUGGAAUCUCUGCUCUUGAGAAGCUUCGAAUCCAAGUCAGGAGAGAAAUGUCCACCUUAAGAAAAGACCUGCAGCAGUCACACGUGAACACCAGCCAGCACAAAAUAGGACGGUCUGAAAACUCCCCCCUUGAGCAGGAAUGUGGUGAGCCGAGGUUAACGGGGUGUUUCCUGCGGGCCGGGACCCUUCGACCAGCUCUGGUGGAAAAGCAGAACGUGGGUGGUAGAAAGCAGGAGCCCAGGCACCAGCGGCCCUGUGCCCCCCACAGAGCAGGCGGCUGGGAGCCCUCCCCCCUCCUCCAUCCCCUUCCUCCCGAGCCUCUGGCGCAGCCUGCUGUACUGUCUCCCCCGGGGCCACCUCCACCUGCUCUGCAUCUCGGGUCUCUUUCUUUUCAGCCCCGACCAUGGAGAUCUUCCCACCCCCUCUCUGUUUCUUUGCUGUCCCUCAGACGCCCCAUUCAUGGACAGAUGAUGACAGUAACACGGUGACAAACAAGAUGUUAAAAUGGAGCCAGAAAUCGUGCGACUGUGGUUUGCAGCUCCUUUUCUCAGUAGAUGGAUUUCUCUGAUGGCAGGAGGCUCUGGUUCCCCAGCUCUGUCAGGGAAGACCCCUGCCCCACGCUUGCGCUCCCGUCCCCAGCCAACUCUGCGUGAAACACACUGGAGAUAGAUGAUCAGGAUUUAAGAGGGUCCUUUGUGUCUCAGGGGACUUCCCAGUGAGUGUUUCCACUCUCGGUGUCCCCUCUUGUUUUACCUGGGAAGAUCCAGUUAAAUCUUUCUCUUGACGGUGACAUCUCAUUUGGGGGGAGAGAUGUGACAUCAGGUGAUCGCGACCAUCCAGGUGCUCUGACCUGACCAGGCUGAGCCAGGCCUCCCUGGUGGGGCCCUGCAGCUCACGUCAGCACUGGCUGCCCACGACCGUCUCAGGGACUUGACUGAUGGUCAGCGCCGAGGGAGGCUGCCGCCUGCCCUUCUCAUACUACCUCGUGGCGGCAUCGGCCUCCUGUCUGCCGGUCCCUCCUGCCAGCGCUCACCUCACCACUAACGCGUUGCUGAAGAUCUGGGGGAAACCAACGAGCUUCUCGUUAAGAGUAGGAGACGGGCCCUGCGGACCUCAGUCCAUUGGUAGAGAAGCUGCCUGGCAGCGUGUCCGUGUCAGAGAAUGAGCAAGUCACAGGAAAGGCCAGUGGUGACAUGAGGGGGAGUUGGCCGUGGUGGCAGGCCCACGUGAUCAGCGCCUGCCUGCCCCGCAAACAUAGACUCCGGGGAGCGGGGAGGCCUUGGGAGGCGGCCCGCGUGGCCCGCGUGGCCCACCAGGGGCCGUGCCCUCCCCCCCCGCCCCACCUGCUGAGCUGAAGAGCAGCCCCCUACCCUCAGCCCUCGCACGGCGCUGCUCUGGGCGCCGCAGACCUCGGGGCUGCAGCUGAGCACGUGGCACUCGAGGUGCUCGCUUUGUUCAGGGAGAUUUCCAUGAGGAGGAGGGUGGUUCCUCCACCCUCAUCCGCAUUUGGCAGCUGAUCAGAGCCUGGGACGAAGAGCUUUCGGAGGCCCCGAGCAUUUUGGUUGCAGUCAUGGAUUCGAUCCUCUGAUAACCCACCCCUCUGCCCCCGUUGACCGGCCAGUGUCGGCCCAGGUGUCAGCCUGCCGUCCGAGGUCCAUCUUCCGUUGGUCACUUGAAGUUUGGGGUUGGGGGCCAGUGUGUGCUUUGUGGUCCUUUGCUGUGUAGUGUCCACGUGAGAUGAAAAUCCCGCUUCCCACCCUUCCUGCUCUAGAGCAGGCUGCUGCCUCCUGUGUAGAUCAGCCUUCGCCGGAGGAAGCCAGCCACACACGCCAGCCUGUGUUCCUGGAGGACAUGCGUUUUCCAGGACAUCCCGCGACCCUCCUCUAGAGCAGCUCGAGGUGGGGCCGGAGUGAGAAACUCCCAGGAUUCCGAGGCUCAUUGCGAAGCAAGGCGCAGGCUUAACUAAAGCUGUCAGCACCAGAGAGGAGUAGCCGGAGAUUUGAGGAGGCACUUCUGAUAGCACAGCAAGCCAGGGAAAAUGAUCCCUUUGAUGAAACUUCGUCUCCAGCCAACUUUCGGGAGCCCAUCUGUUUGCAAAGCAGGUCCCCAGGGCUGUGUCUGUGUGUGUGUGACCCAUAGAAGGGGAAGGGCGGAGAUCUAGAUGAAGUAUGCUGCUUUUAUUCUUGAUUCCCAGGAUGGUCUUUGUUUAAAACUCUUACCUUCCUCUCAGGUGUUUUAAAGGAAGUCCCUGCAUCUUUUGUGUCCCUCCAGCAUGGGAAGGGAUAAACACGUUUUCAUUCACUGAAAGCUGCGUGGAGUCAGUUUCAAUGGCUAGUAGCUUUGAAAGUGGAAGUGUAAACAGAACUACAUACAUUUGUCAGUUUGGGUCUUUAGCUCUACCCCACAGAAGUCUAGAAGGGUCGGUUAUAAACGGUAUGAGGUACUUGAGUAUAAGAGGAAAGGACCCUGGAGUAGCUGGUAAUCACGGGCCCCGCUGCAUCCACUUCUCUGAGACGUGGCCUGUACAGUCCUCUCCUCCUGGUCCUUCAUUUGGGAGAACGGGGUGAGAACGGACACCAUGGGCCCUCUGCUGGGUCCAAGAGCCGUGGCUGCCCGUGGCUGAGUGAAGGGCCUCGUUUCCAGCACGUUGGCGCCGUGCUUAGCAGCGGAUGCCAGAAUGAGACCUAGAUUAGGGCGGGGGGUGGGCGUGUGGGCACUGAAAUCAGGGCAUGUUGCAAUCUGGGUCGUGUCCGCGCGUUCUGUCCCGAGCUGGGAAAGCCAGCACAGCACGGACUUUUGUCGGGAGAGAAGAGAGACAGGAAGACUCUUCUCAGAGGACCCGUCUGUUCCCUCGUGUGCUGGGAGACCGCGGACGUGAACACCUCCACCCCCGCCCGCCGCCAAUGGCAAGAACGUGCCAUGCCUUUCUGCAGAGACAGAAACCGCCCCUGGUGUUUAUGGAAAUACUGCACACUUUUAACCAUGCCUCUGACAGUGAGACGUAUUCAGAACAGGGUUUUUUAAGUGCCUUUUUGUAUGUCAAAUGUACCACUUAUUUUUUUUAAACAAUGAAAUAGUUUUGCCAAAA
RNA transcript from Balaenoptera acutorostrata (minke whale), 6161 nucleotides. It is a transcript of the gene named hexose-6-phosphate dehydrogenase/glucose 1-dehydrogenase, with no coding region annotated. The transcript is spliced from 7 exons. NCBI's taxonomy places the organism in Eukaryota, Metazoa, Chordata, Mammalia, Artiodactyla, Balaenopteridae. The record is from RefSeq and is a predicted model, not a curated record.